Molecule: ribosomal RNA, 1348 nt
Filed under: uncultured bacterium
Lineage: Bacteria
Description: bacterial SSU rRNA
Rfam family: Bacterial small subunit ribosomal RNA
Source: RNAcentral
AAUGAACGCUGGCGGGAUGCCUAACACAUGCAAGCCGAGCGGUAUUGUGUCUUCGGAUGUGAAAGAGCGGCGUACGGGUGAGGAAUACAUGUGAACCCUGCCUAUCUCGGGGGAAUACCCUGUCAAAGGGAAGAUUAUUACUCCUUAAUAUUUUGGACGACAUCGUUUAAUAUUGAAACCUCCCGCGGAUAGAGAUGGGCACGCUCAAGAUUAGCUAGUAGGUGAGGUAGCGGCUCAUCAAGGCGAUGAUCUUUAGGGAGCUCGAGAGGGUGAUCCCCCACACUGGUACUGAGACUCGGACCAGACUCAUCCGGGAGGCAGCAGGACGGAAUAUUGGUCACUGGAUGCAGGCAUGAACCAGCCAUCACGAAGGCAGGAGGACUGCCAUAUGGGUUGUAAAGUUCUGUUUGUAUAGGGAUAAACCUACCGUGGUGAGGGUAGCUGAAGGUAGUAUAAGCAUAAGCUCCGGCUAACUCCGCGCCAGCAGCCGCGGUAAUGCGGAGGGUGCAAUCGUUAUCCGGAUUUAUUGGGUGUAAAGGGUCCGUAGGCGGAGUCAUAAGUCAGUUGUGAAAGCUCGUCGCUUAACGAUCGAACUGCCAUUGAGACUGCAAGUCUGGAGUGUAUGGGAGGUAGUUGGAAUAAGUCGUGUAGCGGUGAAAUGCAUAGAUAUUACUUAGAACACCGAUUGCGAAGGCAGGUCACCAAGACAGCACUGACGCUCAUGGACGAAAGCGUGGGGAGCGAACAGGAUUAGAUACCCUGGUAGUCCACGCCCUAAACGAUGGUAACUGGUUUGGGGCUUUAGGGUUCAGAGACCAAGCGAAAGUGAUAAGUUAGCCAGCGAUGGGGAGUACGCUGGCAAGAGUGAAACUCAAAGGAAUUGACGGGGGCCCGCACAAGCGGUGGAUUAUGUGGUUUAAUCGGAUGAUACGCGAGGAACCUUACCAACAUUUAAAUGGGCAAGGGACAGCCUUGGAAAUAGAUCGUUCUUGGGACAGUUCUCACGCUCAGGCACGGCAGUGGUCAGGUCAGGCCGUGAGGUGAGAGGUUAAGUCAAGUAACGAGCGCAGCGCAAGCCACUACUUGACAUCAUUCAGAAGGGCACUCUAGUGAGACUGCCUACGCAAGUCGAGAGGAGGGUGGGGAUGACGUCAAAUCAUCACGGCCCUUAUAUGUGGGGCCACACACGUAAUACAAUGGCCGGUACAGAGGGCAGCCACACAGCGAGGGGGAGCAAAUCUCGAAAACCCGUUUCAGGUCGGAAUGGCGUUUGCAAAUUGGCUUUAGGGAGGUGGGAUUGGUUGUAAUUGCGCGUCAACCAUGUCGCGGUGAAUACGUUCCCGGGCCU